AAGACUAUUCUUUCAGGGACCAUUUCUAUAGUUUGUUACUGGAGGUUUCUCUGACUAUGCAGAGUACCAGAAACCAGGAGGAGGUAGAACAUUCCUUCUUGAGCAUGAAGCUGGCUCUUGAUGUUGCUUUGCUGCUAAUGUCACUUGCCAUUGUUGAAUGGUUUUGUCUUCCUUUAAAGAGCAAGAGGGGGAGCUGCAGUCUGAGUGGU
Molecule: small nucleolar RNA, 209 nt
Organism: Nannospalax galili (Upper Galilee mountains blind mole rat)
Lineage: Eukaryota; Metazoa; Chordata; Mammalia; Rodentia; Spalacidae
Gene: U3
Rfam family: Small nucleolar RNA U3
About the family: Small nucleolar RNAs (snoRNAs) are involved in the processing and modification of rRNA in the nucleolus. There are two main classes of snoRNAs: the box C/D class, and the box H/ACA class.
Source: Ensembl